This 518-nucleotide ribosomal RNA is filed under the name uncultured bacterium. Its description in RNAcentral is "bacterial SSU rRNA". It matches the Rfam family "Bacterial small subunit ribosomal RNA", at positions 338 to 853 of the family's 1533-position model. The record is from RNAcentral.
CCUACGGGAGGCAGCAGUAAGGAAUAUUGGUCAAUGGACGGAAGUCUGAACCAGCCAUGCCGCGUGCAGGAAGACGGCCCUAUGGGUUGUAAACUGCUUUUGCAGGGGAAUAAACCUCAUUACGUGUAAUGAGCUGAAUGUACUCUGAGAAUAAGGAUCGGCUAACUCCGUGCCAGCAGCCGCGGUAAUACGGAGGAUCCAAGCGUUAUCCGGAUUUAUUGGGUUUAAAGGGUGCGUAGGUGGCCUGUUAAGUCAGGGGUGAAAGACGGUAGCUUAACUAUCGCAAUGCCCUUGAUACUGAUGGGCUUGAAUAAACUAGAGGUAGGCGGAAUGUGACAAGUAGCGGUGAAAUGCAUAGAUAUGUCACAGAACACCAAUUGCGAAGGCAGCUUACUAUGGUUUUAUUGACACUGAGGCACGAAAGCGUGGGGAUCAAACAGGAUUAGAUACCCUGGUAGUCCACGACCUAACGACUAGAUACUACGUAUGUUGGUCGUAUAUACGUACGUAGCGUCGUA